RNAcentral lists this ribosomal RNA (253 nucleotides) under uncultured bacterium. RNAcentral describes it as "partial 16S ribosomal RNA". It matches the Rfam family "Bacterial small subunit ribosomal RNA", at positions 524 to 776 of the family's 1533-position model. The record is from RNAcentral.
UACGUAGGGUGCAAGCGUUGUCCGGAAUUAUUGGGCGUAAAGAGCUCGUAGGCGGUCUGUUGCGUCGGCUGUGAAAACCCGGGGCUCAACUCCGGGCCUGCAGCCGGUACGGGCAGACUAGAGUUCGGCAGGGGAGACUGGAAUUCCUGGUGUAGCGGUGAAAUGCGCAGAUAUCAGGAGGAACACCAGUGGCGAAGGCGGUUGCCUGGGGCUUUGCUGACGCUGAUGCGCGAAAGCGUGGGGAGCGAUCCGG